GGCCGGCUGGCUCAAUGGUAGAGCGUCUGACUACGACUACAUGUAUUCGGACAAUUCUGUUUGUUUGCUAUAACUCGGUUAAUCAGGAGGUUCCAGGUUCGAGACCUGGGUUGGUCG
Non-coding RNA from Podospora didyma, 117 nucleotides. NCBI's taxonomy places the organism in Eukaryota, Fungi, Ascomycota, Sordariomycetes, Sordariales, Podosporaceae. The record is from the annotation of a GenBank genome assembly.